Molecule: long non-coding RNA, 1866 nt
Filed under: Homo sapiens (human)
Lineage: Eukaryota; Metazoa; Chordata; Mammalia; Primates; Hominidae
Description: HSALNT0035307
Source: RNAcentral
CAAGAGUGAAAAAUGCAUAAUGCUCAGUUUGCAAAGUUAACUUCAUUAGAAAUGAUUCUCCCUCCCAGGUAGUUCUUUAUUACUUCAUCUUGAAAUUGGCAAUGUAGCGCUGGGUUUUUACUCUAACUUUUAAAAUGUUUCUCGUUCUCCCCCAUCCCACCCCAAAUAGAAUCGCUUGAUAAAAACAAAAGCAAAUUAAUAUUUGGUGUUCACGUUUUUAACCAAUCAGCCAACUGAGAACCAGGUGGGCUAAUCCUAAUCCCUUUUUGAGGAUUGUCCUGAAGGCCAGAGGCCAGGUGUGGCCUCCAGCCUCAGGCACCCACAGACUUUCAAGAGGCCUCUUCCUGAGGUCCUCUCUCCCUACUUUAACAAAUUCUCCUCCCACAUGAGAUGACACAUCUGACAGUCACCCAGCUGCUUGAUGUAUGCAGGUCAAGCUGUGAACUGGCUUUGAGUUCCAAUCACCAUUAGAAGGUAAAUUCACUGACUUGAAAGCUUACUGAUGUCAUGGAGUCAUAAUCAAAGAUCUCUUUGAAGUGGAAGUUGGUCAGUCAUUGCAGGAGGAGGUAAGAAGGGGUGAGAUAAAAACUCAGGCAGCUGAAACCAUUACCCUCCGGGGAAGCAAACCCCAGCCCUCAAUUCUGAAUCCCCAGUAAGGCCUCUCCCCAGUGCAAGCAAGCCCACCUUUCCUUAGCCAUCCCCAUUCAUAUCCUCAUCUGCUUCUGCCUCACCAAGGGUGACUGCUGUUCAAAUCCUGGCUCAGCUGCUCACCGGCCUUAUGCCCCUGCCCUGGGGAAGGCCAAUGCUUGGCUGCUUGCUCACCUACUAAACAAGAACCCUCUGAGUGUUGGUGCAUUUCCCUCGGUGAAGGGUUUGGCUUGGAGUCAGGGUCUUCUCUCUCUCUUCUGAUUGCGAGCCUGGCCGGACCCUUGCCUGGAGACGGAGUCUGCCAUGUUGCCCAGGCUAGUCUCAAACUCCUGGUCUGAAGCCAUCCUACCGCCUGGCCUCCGAAAGUGCUGGGAUUACAGGUGUGAGUGCCGUUCCUGGCUGGUGUGUUUCUUCUGGAGAGGAGUCAUUUGCUAAUAUCUGUAUCUGCUGCCUCUCUCUUUUGGCAGAGCCUCUGUCUGUGUAUGCAUGACAGAGUUUUUCCUCUCUUACCAGUAAAUUAGCAGAAUAUAGUUUCGUUUGCUGUUGUCAUUCCUCUAAAUGGGUGAGUAUUUUAUGUCUGAGGGACCUUCCCUGCCUGGGAGACAACUGAUUCUCCAAAGCACACUAGUGGCCAGCAGCUCUGAGUGUGCCACAAAUGCACGUGCCUGUUCCAUUUGUACAAGGAGGAUUUGCAAUCACUGCAUCUGCUGGCCUGCCCAGGACAGAGCCCUGUGGAACCUGGGUGCUCACCCUCACCCUGCUCACAGGGAUCCCCCGGAUGCCCUGGUGGCUCAGGCAAGAGCCCUCUAGUCCAGAAUCCUGUCAUUCAUCCUGGUGAGGAAUGAAGCUCUGGGGCAGUCGGGGCCUAUAAAGGCAGUGGCUCCUCCUCCCACCAUGUUCUUAGUGACCUACAAUGAGAGGAAAAUCCAUAAAUGCCCCUAACCCAGUUAUUUUAAGUAUACAAUGCAGUGGCAUUAAGUACAUUCACAAUGUUGUACAACCAGCACCACUGUUUCCAAAACAUUUUUCAUCACCUCAAACUGAAACUCCGUACCUGUUAACCAAUAACUCCCCAUUCUCCCCUCUCCCCAGCCCCUGGCAACCUCGAUUCUAGUUUCUGUCUCAAUCAGUUUGACUAAUCUAGGUACCUUAUAUACGUGUUUUUAUACAAUAUUCGUCCUUUUGUACCUGGCUUAUUUCACUUAGCAUGUUUUCAAG